GGCGAACGCUGGCGGCGUGCUUAACACAUGCAAGUCGAGCGAUGAAGCUCCUUCGGGAGUGGAUUAGCGGCGGACGGGUGAGUAACACGUGGGUAACCUGCCUCAUAGAGGGGAAUAGCCUUUCGAAAGGAAGAUUAAUACCGCAUAAGAUUGUAGCUUCGCAUGAAGCAGCAAUUAAAGGAGUAAUCCGCUAUGAGAUGGACCCGCGUCGCAUUAGCUAGUUGGUGAGGUAACGGCUCACCAAGGCGACGAUGCGUAGCCGACCUGAGAGGGUGAUCGGCCACAUUGGGACUGAGACACGGCCCAGACUCCUACGGGAGGCAGCAGUGGGGAAUAUUGCACAAUGGGGGAAACCUUGAUGCAGCAACGCCGCGUGAGUGAUGACGGUCUUCGGAUUGUAAAGCUCUGUCUUCAGGGACGAUAAUGACGGUACCUGAGGAGGAAGCCACGGCUAACUACGUGCCAGCAGCCGCAGUAA
This 478-nucleotide ribosomal RNA is filed under the name uncultured bacterium. Its description in RNAcentral is "partial 16S ribosomal RNA". It matches the Rfam family "Bacterial small subunit ribosomal RNA", at positions 28 to 523 of the family's 1533-position model. The record is from RNAcentral.